UAAAUUAUCUUAAAAUUUCAAAUAUAUGUAUGUAAAAUAUAUGUGUUAAAAUUACUCAGAGUAAUAACAUCCUUUGGUUAGAAAAGUCAGUUCACAUUUAUUGCAUUCACUUUAGUCUCUUUGGUUAGAUCUUAUCGAAACACUUUGAGUUGCUCCAGGCUAGAACACUUGAAAUGAAACCAUGCCUACGCUUAUUUCUUUUUCCAUCCUACAACUAAAAAAGUAGCUAGUGGGAUUCUUGUUUCUUGGUGCCAGUGGGCAAAACCAUGCUGGGAAUAUGGGGAACUGCUGUUGCUUAUAGUUCAGUUGCAUGAAUUAAGUAUGUAGACCCUAUGAUAAUAAGGACACUAGCCUAGUCAUUAAUAUUUCUCAUUUUCUUUUAAAUGCUAAAAUACGUGCUUUCUCUAUUUUUCUUUAGUAGUUUCUUAGCCUUUUAGUUUUUUUAUUAACAAAAAAGACCAAUUGGCAAAACCAUGUAGAGUUAGUCAUGUCCCAUUUGGUACAGUCAACCCAGACCUUGGGUACAAGCUGUUUAAAGAAUUGCAGUACAAAACUCUGGACAUCAGCUUUAAUUGGUUCCCACUAGCGAUCUGUCUCUAACCUUUGUUGUAGCAAUAAUAAUUGGCCACCUUUCUUUUUUCUAUUUGGUUUGACAUAUCUUCUUGGUAACUGUUAGGGAAAUUUUUUGCUUUGGCCUGCUAAGCAUCAUUUUCACUUCUGGUAGAAAAUCCUUGUUUACUUUCAAAAAAAUAACUUUCUCCAUUGUUUUUAGUCUUAGUCUAUUAUUUUGAUCCGUUAUAUGUAAUUCAUCAGCAAAUCCUGUUUGCCUAAUGUUCAAAUUGUAUCCAGAACUGAUCGCUUCUUAUCAUCUCCAUAGCUGCUGCUGCCUUUGCUUAAAUUAUUUCAAGAACCUCCAAAAUGGUCUCUGGGUUUCACCAGUUUAGCACUCUACAAUCUGUUCUGAACAUAGCAGCCAAUGUGAUUUUAUUAAAAAGUAAACUAGACCAUGUUUCUCUUCUUCAGAACUUUCCAUUCUUUUCUGAUCUGCCUGACAAUGAAAAUCAAAGCUCCUGCUGAGACUUACAUGGUCAGGCUCCCUGUUGUUUCUUUCAGUUCAUCUCUUACUAUUCCACCCCACUCUCAUACCUCAAUAUAUUCAUGAAUCACUCCCUACUUUCCUCCAGUAUUUAUCCAAGUAUUUGAACAGUAUUCCAUAUGGAGCAGGCCAUCAUUGAAUAUUUGCUGAUUGUCUCAAUGACCGUCAGUCAAGUUUCCCUGCCUUCCUCUGACAAGGGGUAGGACAUAUGACAUUUCAUUUAUCCUCUCUCAUAUUUCUUCCUCUUUCUUUCUCUUUCUUCCUAAGGAAAUUGAUUAUGGAGUGUCAUGAAUAAAGUUAAAAAAAGGUAAAACUCAUUCUUUUUUUUUUGGCUAAGCCCUGUCAUAUGGGAGUUUCCAGACUAGGGAUCAAACCCACACCACAGCAGUGACCCAAGCCACUGCAAUGACAAUGUCAGAUCCUUAACCCACUGCUCCACAAGGGAACUCCAAGAAUCUUUCUUAUUGAUAGAAAUUCUCUCCCAGUUACUUGAAGAUUAGAGACCUAAAAAUGAGCCCCAGUCCUUUCUAGCAAAUGCCACAUUUUUUAAUUGGCACUUAACUUGCCUUAACUAUUAUCAUCUCUCUAUUUCCGGUUAAUCACCUACAUGUGUGAACAAACCCAACAUUAGAAUCCCUUCUUUCACAUUCCAUUGUUGACUGUUUCCUGAGCUCUCUAAUCUGUAAGGAGUACAGAGCACCAUUAGCAGAGACAAACACUAUAUAAAACUGUUUGCAUUAGGACAAAACUUUUAGCAGCCGUUGUAUCAUACAGACAAUAUCAGUCCUGAUAGGUUGCAAGGAGUAAAAAUAUGAAGAAAAAAAAAAAAAACCUGGUUAGAAGGUAUGUCAGUUCUUCUCAUAAAUAUACAUAGAUUUUUUAAACCAUUUUUCAAAUUGAUAUUCCUUUUAAUAUAAAUUGCCUUGCAAAGAAGUUAAAUUUUUAAAAUAGUUUAUCCUUUCCUCUCCUCAAAACCUAGUAUUAGAAAAUGUGAAUUUUUUUUUGAGUUCACCAUUUUAGAUGACCCCAAAAGUGUCUUAAAUAUCCUACAAAACCUUUAUCAAGUAAUGCUGUCUAAAAGUGAAACAAAUGAUCUUGCAACUCAGAAAAGGCAAAAGGCACAUAUUCAUAGGUUCAUUAACUUAACAAAUACCUCUUAAUCCUCUCCUGUAUACCUGGAGAGACACAAUGAUGACUAAGACACAAAUAAUCCAUGCUACCAUAUUGCUUGUUAAACAUUUGCCCAUUUCGAGUAUGGGUAAUUUCAGAAAAGAGAAAAGAGAUUUUUAUAUGUUUAAUAUUUCUAUCCAUAAAUUAAAUAUUUUUUUGUAAUUUAUUAUUGAUUCUCUACUUUGUGAAUUCUCUCAGAAAUAACUAAACAGAUUAUACCCCUUUCUAGCUAUAUAUUUGAUAUGAAAAAUGUUUGCUUAUGAAUCCUCUUCCUUUUUUUUUUUCCUUACAGAAUAAAGAUCUAUACUUGCUUAUUUAAGGAAUAUAGGGAAGUUAAAUAAAUAUGCACUAUUUCUAAAACUGGGUGCUCAUUUUAGUGGAGCAUAAUGAAACUGGAAUGUAUUUUUAAAAGACAAUUUAAAUGCAAUGAUAGAUCAUCUGUAUUUAACAAAUAUGUACUUAUAUAUUUAUGAUGAAACCUGCUGAUUAUAAAUUAUAGAGCAAUACCUUAAACUGAAGUUUUAUACUACAUUUUAGUUACUAAACAGAAAUCUCAUAUAACUACAUGAUUCUACACAUAAAUAUUAAAACUAUAACACUUAGUAACUAAAAUAUAACAUUUCAUUAUUAUCUUAGUUACAUUGCUUUAAUUUAGUAUAGCGCUUUUUUGACUUUGUCAAAAUUUACAAUUUAAUAUGCAGUCAGUAUCAGUAAACAGAAUUUACCCUCUGAAGUCCCUUAUUAUCCAGAAUAGAAAUCUAUUUUUCAUCCCAACUUGAGUGUUCCCAUUUCUAACUGAAUUCACUCUUGUGUCAGAGCAUGCUUUUCCAGUAUAAGCAAUUCCAAAUUGCCCUAAUAACAGCAUGGGAUAGUUUGGAAACUGAAUAGACAGAAUAGGAGAGUGACAUGCAACCAGACGUAAAUGUCAUUACAGCCAAUCUGCUAUCCCCAAAUAAUACAUUUUCAAGAGAUUUUAAAUUGCAUAUAUUGAUUCACAAAUUCUUUAUCACAAAGAAAAUAACCACAUUUAUUUCUCAUAAACUAUUUUUCAGGAAUAGAUUUUCCAAGUGUAAGUGAUUUUAAAUGUCAAAGAAUUUAAACUUUUGAUAUUUAAAGUUAUGUUAAAUUGAAAGAUGAAUGCAGCAGAUUAAAUAAUAAGUAAAGAGGAAAUUAAUUUCAUUGUUUUCCAAGAGUCUAGAUGAGUGUCUAAUUGAAAUGAUGUGUUUUCAUGUUUCUUCUCUCCACGUUUUACCAGAGAAUAUCUAUCCUAGUUGUCUCCACUUUGCCAAUGCAGAAGUACUCCUAACUCUAAAAUCAGCAUUUUCAGUAUGUGUGUUCUGAGCGAAUCUAACUUAAACUUUUUUUUUGAAGGUUAGUUCAACACUCAAUAAACUGUGAAAUUUUCUUACUGAUACAUUUUCAUAGGUAUCAUUAGUGCUUGUAGUUUAUGAUUAAGGCUGGAAAACUCUUAGCACAUGUAUAUUUGUGUGUUUGGAAGUUCACUGAACAUAAAGGAGCAACAACCAAAACUAAAAAUCAAGAUUACAGAAUCGGUGCCACCAUUUGCUUGCACUAUUAUUGUCAGUAACUUUUCUUAUCUGGCUUUCAAUGUAUUUCUUGUAUAGAAAGUCAUAUGGGUUUUGAUGAUUUUUUGAAUCUUUGAGGAUUAAUUAAAUAAUAAUUUUAGUUUAUAGUUGUAUGAUGGGGGCAGAUUUUGUUUCAUUUCUUAAUAUGUUUUAUUUCCAGUGUAGAUAACUAUAUAGCUAGUUAAUUAGUAAUAUCUGAAAUCCUCUUCCAUCUCAUUCUUUUUCAUCAGUCUUGAAAAUAAGCCUUUACAUUUUUUUUUUUUUUUAGUUUCAAAACUUUUUUGAAAGGUAUAUUAUUUCUUUCUUCAUUUUGUGUAGUUUAUUUGGAUUGAUUUUUGGAGCUCACUUGUGUGUUUUUAUGUUUUUCAAUUUAGUGCCAUCUAUAGCCUUCAUAUAUUUUUCCAUUCCUAAUUCUAACCCAUUUUAUUACAUAUUUAAAUAUCUCAUAUCUCACUGAAUGCUGAAUAGCAUCUGUUUGCAAAUCGCACAAAUUUAACACAAAAGGCGUUUGGGUUACAGAAGAUAAACUGUGAAAAUCAAUGGUAUUGUGAAAGAUUAAAUAUUUAUAAAGCAUGCUGGUAUCCUGGGCAUAUAGCUGGGGGGACUGUGCUCCUUUGAUUUUGCAUGAGUGCCUAUGGAAAUUUGUAAAAGCUGGGCGAAAAUAAUGGAGAGAUUAGGAUCCUCAGAGCACAGACAUCUAUCCCCAUCCAUAGUUGUAGGGAUGUCACAGAAUUACUCCUGACAGUUUAGACAGUGUGGACUUGUUCCAGCUGGCACUGGAAAGGCAUCCCAAAGGCAUUACAUACAGGAUGUCUAAGGGCCCAAGUGUCCCUCAUCUGUCAGCCAUCCUCCUCAUUUCUGCCUUGGGUUCAUUACUAUAGAUACCACGUCACCCACCCAUGGCAUCUUACAGAAACCAGAGCAGAUUGAGAAAAUAAAAAUAAAUUUUUAUAGCUGAACUUUCAAAUCACGCUUGUGUUCUUUGAAAAGGCCAUCGUUUCUGUUAGAUGCCUAUUUAGUCAGUCCCAGAUGUGCUGGCUGAUAUUCAAAAGGGAGUUAUCCUUCAGCACUUGAGAACCAGUAUGAGUAAGUGAUAUUUCAUUCACUAUUCCUCAAAUUGAGUUGUUUUCCUUCACCAUCUGCUUUGGUAAUCAACCUGUGUGAUUUUAUUGGCAACCUUUCCUAAGGCAUAUCUCUUUUAGACAGAGUAUCUGUCUUAACACUACAUGAUAGAUAAUGAGUCAUAACUGCUUAGACAUAACAAUUCUGUUGUCAGUUUUUGCCUGAGUAUGUUUAUAUUUUGUUUGAAUUUCAUCUCUACUGUUGGUACAUAGAAUAUCCUUUCCAUCCUGUUUUGUACUGCAGUGGGCAUGAUUGUAACAGGUUUUUCAGUGUAAGAGGAGGAUGUAUAGAACACAAAAAUCAAUAAUUUUGAGAUCUCUUUCCCAAACACUGCGUCACACUUUAUUGUACAGUGCUGUCUAUAAAAUAGCACACAACAGAGAUUUAGUUCUCAUAUUUUUCUCUUAUAAAGAAUAUUUCUGAGACAUUUUUUUUCCAUUUCUCUACUCUUCACCAUGACAUGUCCUAACCUUUCCUGCUUGUUUGCUAUGUUUAUACAUGGCCAUAUUUUGAAAGGAUUUAUGGUGGGGUUUUUUUUUCAGUACACUGAUUUACAGCUAGUGAGUAUUUUUCAUCACAUUGUUAAAACCUUUUAGGCACUUAUUAGUAUUGAUUGCUAUAAGCAAAUAUGCAACACCUUAAUUAUCUGUUUGUCAUCUAAUUUUUUUAUAAACUACCAACAUUUUACUUUAUCGUGACAUUUGGAAGUAAGUCUGUGUUCGGCAGGAAAUUUAUUUCACCAUCCCUAAAUAUCCUGCUGCUCUUAUAAACCCAAGUGGUUUUAUUUCACUAAACUAUAUGAAUUAAUCAACCAACAAGUCUGAGCAACAUGUAGUCCACAGUUACGUAGAAACAGAAUCUUUGCCUUCAGCAUUCUUAGUCUAUUGAAGGUGACAAGGCAUGAAUAAAAGAAAACAACAAAAGAAUUAGCAGAGGAUAGAACGUGAUAGUUGAUCAAAGAGAGAUGGAAACUUAUACAAGAGUUACAUAGAACAGAUCCCUGUGGAGAGAAGCUGGAAGUAAGAGUAGAUAGAGGUGGAAUGCCAAGAGUGAAGAUAGAUACAACUGAACCUUAAAAGAUGGAUGGUUUUACAUUAGCAAUUUAAGGAGAUAAAAAAAAAUUUUUUUGAGGAGCUAGAAUGAGAGGAGAUUGAUCCUUAGAAAGGUGGAAGCUUGGAGUGCUAUGCAAAAAGGCAUAGAAGCAGGAAAGUAAAUGGAGUUUGUGGGGGGAAAAUUGUGGUGAUGCCAUUUUGCACACUAGCAGUGGUUUGUGUACCUAAUAGGAGGUAUGACCAGAUGAAAAGUUAAAGUUCCAGAACUGGGAAUAUUAUAUACCAGGCUACAUAGCCUAUGAUGCAGAAAAACUAGUUAAGUAGGACACAAGUGAAUUAUAAUGACAAAUUUGGAAGCAGGAAUAAAAGAGACUGUAUUGUUUUAUUGUUCCAGGGGAGCCCACCAUAGAGUGUUAGCUAUGAGAAUAGACCGAACUAUUCUCAGAAUGACUGAGAGAAGCUACAUAGAAACUGAAGAUCAGAAAAUUAAGGUCAAUGGUUCCAAGCAAGGUUCUUCUGGCUGUCAUAUGGUCACAACCAGCAGGCAGUGCUACUAGCAUCACGUGGGAAGGGGAAUAUAAAGAGGAGGAAUAAUGGAUUCGAGUGGGAUGGAUGAAGAUAUAAUCCUGACACUUGCUGGAGUUUGUGAUGAAAAGGACUGCUUUAUUCUUAUCGUGUCAUUCUGCCUCAUGCAAUCCUCACAGAUUAAAUAAAUUGGACCUUCAAAAAAAGGAAAUAAUCCUACAAAGGGAAUCACAGAUACAAGGAGGACUAAUAAGGUCUUUAAUUGUUGGAGGAGGUUAUCAAGAGGAGAAGACCAUCCAGUCAGAGACUCCUCACCCCAUCCCUGUCUUUGAAAUGUCCCUUCUGCCCACCUUUUCCACAGUAGAAGCCAGUUUCAAGAAUACAAUCUAGGGAGACCAAUGCAUUGUUGAGAACAUCUGGACUGUGUAUGUGCUUUGUACCCCUUUAAAGCCUCUGUAUAAACUGGCCAGCAGGUAUGAAUGUCUAUCUUGUGGACACCCAAGAUAAGCCUCCUUGUUAAGUUCUCUUGCUUAUAAAACCUACUAUUUUCCACUCUGGAGAGACCUGCUUCCCUCUUUGGUCUGUCCUUUCCUCCGUGAACAAGAGCCAGCUUCACACUGCUUGGGAAGCUCCUGUUGCAAACCAACAUGCAUAUACUGUCUGUGGUUCAGCGACCUUCUUGAAUCUAUAUAUUUAAGUAUUUUGCCAAAUUUGGGAUUUUCUGGCUCUUCUUUAAUCUCCAAUUUUUUAUAUCUUUUUUUUUUGUAUGAAACCUUUCUCCAUUUCUAUGAGGGAUAAUCUCUCAAAGGAGCUCUUUUGGUCAGAUUGGACAGUUUCUAUUUGGAAUUUAAAACUAUACUACUUCCAUUUUAUUUAGAAAUAAUGUUUGCAUUCUUUCUAUCAUUAAUUACUUUGCUGAGAAUUUCUAUCUUUCCAUUAUUUUUGUAUGUCCUUAUUUGUUGGGAUGUUUUUACAAAGCACUGCUUUAAAGUUUUCCUGAAAUAAAUGUUACAUCUGUUGUCUCAAAUUUGAUGUCCAUUGGUGUUUUUUUCCCCCCACAAGAGUUGAUAUUUUUCUGAUUCUCUUUAUGCUAAGAAAUUUUAUUCUGUUCUUCAUUUUUAUUAUGAGACUAUCUUAUUUAAAUCCUACAGAGCAUGUUGUUAGUAUUUUUGCUGUUCUGACAGAAAACCAAUCUAAGCUGGUUAAGACAGUAAGGUCUGUGGGUCAUGGCCUCAACAUAAGCGUUGUUUUAAAAUCUCUGAAGGGCUAUUCAGAACUGUCUCAUUUGUGCCCCACCCACUGUCUGGUCUGGGAUGUUGGCAGCGGUCUAUCUCACAGUUCAGUGUCCCAUGUCCCUGCGUCCUGUUUAGAUCAGAUACACAUGUGCACAUCUUAGCAGUGAGCUCAAUACAACAACAGCUAGAGGGUUGCUUUCCAAAGUUUGUCUCUCUCCAUAAUCUCCUUAACACUUCGUGGUACCGUGGUGCUUGUUUUUUAUAUUGUUUGGCACAAGUCUCGCCUUUAUUUACCUGCACUUGCCAUGAACUUUCCACAUUGUACUCUGAUUCCAGAGACAAGAAGACAGAGAGAGGAAAAUAAAAACCACAGAGAUCUGUCUUAACUUCUUGGAACCAUGGUCGUCCCAUCAGAGGAAAUUUCCCUAUUUUAGGCUUUUAGAUACUGCAGCCACCUAUUUUCGCUGCUACACCAUACUUUUGCUUGGUGCUAAGAUCUAGGAGAACAGAGAAGUAAACACUCAAGGAGUCUUCCUACUCUCUCUGAAUAUUAGGAGACCCUUUUUUUCUCAAACCAGCACCAGAAGGUUUAUCCUUGAGUGCACAAGGGCAGAGUCCACACCCACUUCAGGUUUAAGCUGCGCUAAGCCCAAGUCAGUGUGAAUACCAGCAUAGGAAAGUGAGAACGUACCACGGUUUUGAUGCUCUUUUGAAUUCUGGUAUUAUUCCUCAAUAUACUUGCUACUAUUUGCUUUUCAGAGCUCCCUAGCUGUUCCAUGCCUUCUGUUCAGCUUUUAAAGCUGAAUUCAGUGGGUGAUGGAGUGGAACAUGUUUAUUUCACAUUACAUGGAAGCAUAACUUUUCACUUCACUUAUAAUUUAAUGAUUCUUUUUUUUAUUCCAUCAAAAAGUACAAUUAUUAGUCCUAAAAGAAAGAAGUCACUGAAUUUGGAACUCUAAAUAGCACAUUAAAAAAAUCCUUUUAAACCUUGAUCUACUGAAUCUUUAUUCAUUUUUUUAGUCCUUUUUUUUUUUUUUUUUUAUUUUCACGGUAGGCACACAGAAAAUUAGCCAUACUUCAAGUUUUUCAACUAAUCAGUCCUACAAUUAAGGUAAAUCUCUAUAUUCCCUGGAAAUUGUUUUCUCUUCAGCGGUUAAAUGAAUGAACUGGGGCAAAAUAUACUAAUAUAUUACUUCCAACCAAAAUCAUUUCAUUUAAAACUCAAUUUAAAUAAAUCUAAAAUCCUCAUAUGUUCAUCUUUAUAACUGCUCUAUGGUGUGUUAAACUUGGAUUCUUUAUUUUUUUCCCUGAUAAAAAUUAUAUCCAAUUCCAUAUUAAAAUUAUCUUAUCCACUUAAGUGUUGGAGCCAAAUGCCUCUGGUUCAUGAAAGCAUUUUGGGCACAACUCUUCCUAACUCCACAUUCACUGAUGACAUGUUAGUUGUUUGGAUUCCAUUGGAGUAGGAAUAUUUGCCCAACAAAAACUGUCAAAUAUUGCAAAUUGGAUCUCUUUUUUCUUUCCUCCCCUCUCCUGCCUGAGCUGGAUAUUAAACAGCUCAUACUGCUCAAUAAUAGAAAUUUGUACUUCACAGAGAAAUCAUUUUUCAGAAUAUUUCAUAAAGGGCAAAGGUUAACAAAAGGUAGAUUAGGAUAUAGAUCUAUCACAUAUUAAAUAUAUCAGUUCUUCUGGCAAUAUAAUUUACUGUCAUAGGAUUUGGCUGUGAUUUCUGAAACCUUGCCCAGCAUUUUCAGGCACCCUGUCAAAUUCUGAUUGCAAAUAAAUGGACAUUGUACAAAUAAGUUGUUUCUUACAUAGCCAAAACUUGGCUAUUUUUUCAGAGACUCUCAUGAUCAUUCUAGUAAUAAAGCUGAUAUAUAUGGCCUAUAGAGCCAGAACCUAUAGUUUAUAUGCUGUACCCAACUAUAAAUCUAACUGACCUGGAAGAAAUUAUUGAAGCAGCUGUGGUAGAUCUGUUUCCAAGUAACAUUUAAACAGAAAAGCAUGCAGACAUAGUUUACAUGAAUCACCUUCAGAGAAAGUGAUCUUUCCCUUAUAAGAGCUCCUACAUAAACUCAGAGUUACCCAGACAUGUCUCCCCUGAACGUGGUGAGAGUUUAAUUAGAGGAAGAAUAGAGAGCAAUGCAUAUUCAUCUAGUAUUGAGAAGCAGGAAGUGAUCAAUGGCUCUCAUCCAAGACACAUUUGCUUGGUGAUUUCAUCAUAGCACAACAACUCAAGUUUUGGUCCUUAUGUUGAAGAGUCAGAAAUAAAAUUUCAAUGAACCUUCUACAACAGAAAUAGAAUUAGUUUAUAAAAACAGAAUACUACCUGUACUUUGCAGUAGGACAUGAACCAGGCUAUUCAAAAAGGCAGACUUGCAUGGAACGCCAAAUGAUAAUCAGAAAGUUAUUGAUUUAAAUCAAAAGAAUGUACAAUGACAUCAGUUCUAAGAGAGUCUCAUUUAUUUAUCUCUAUAAUAGGAUUUAUCUAAUCACUGCAGCUGUAGUUAUUGAUAUCACCGGCUGAGAGAACCAGUGUUGGCUCCACAACUGGGAUGAGCUUAAGUGUGGGAAUAUGCCAUCCUACAUCUAUUGGCUAAGGCUGCUACAGUGACUCAUCUGAUCUGAUAACUAUCUGAUAUUCAGAUGGAAAAAGCACUCAUUUUCUUUAAAAAGGUGAUAUUUUUAUAUUUAUCCAGAUUACAAUGAAAGCAUUUCCAUAUACACCCUCAUGUCUAAAUUCUUGGGGAGAAAUAAUGAGGCUGUUUAUUUAAGAGUUUUCUUGAUUUUUUCUGUAUUAAUGAUAUCAAAAUAAUUUUGCAAUCAGGACACUGCUAUAGGUGUCUAUGACUCAUGUGCAGAAACCGCUGCAAUAUACUGUUUACAUUUCUUUCCCUCACCCCUAUGUCCAAAAGCAGUCAGAUGCCAUUAACAAGUAGAAAUACAACAAAAUGUAAGAUUCAACAAGAUAAAACUGUCUUCCUAGGUAAUGUGGCAGUUGAGGCUGUAUGGACUCCUUUUUGCUUCUAAACAUAAAAAGAAACCUAAAUUCAGAAGAAAAUACUAAGUGCCAUAAAUCAGCUCCACCAAGCAAACCGUACUCACUAGUUGAGAAAAAGAGAAAGAAAUCUUGUUGUGUGGCUGAAAUGGAAAUGAAGGGGAAAAAGUUCUUUGGAAGCAGAGGAUUAGGUUUUGCUAUAUACAAAGAUAAUGUGAUUACUUAACCACUAAAUAUGCUUGUUGACAACAGAAAGAAAUUAUAUCUAAAAACCCAUAUUUUAUGCCUUUUUAGACCACAGGUGGCUAGCUUGGACAGAAAUGGUUUAAAUUUUUAUAAAACUUUACUGAAAAAAAAAAA
Sus scrofa (pig) is the source of this 11141-nucleotide non-coding RNA. The record is from RefSeq and is a predicted model, not a curated record. Lineage: Eukaryota; Metazoa; Chordata; Mammalia; Artiodactyla; Suidae.